Molecule: ribosomal RNA, 286 nt
Filed under: uncultured bacterium
Lineage: Bacteria
Description: partial 16S ribosomal RNA
Rfam family: Bacterial small subunit ribosomal RNA
Source: RNAcentral
GUGGAUUAGAUACCCCGGUAGUCCACGCCGUAAACGGUGGGCGCUAGUUGUGCGAACCUUCCACGGUUUGUGCGACGCAGCUAACGCAUUAAGCGCCCCGCCUGGGGAGUACGAUCGCAAGAUUAAAACUCAAAGGAAUUGACGGGGCCCCGCACAAGCAGCGGAGCAUGCGGCUUAAUUCGACGCAACGCGAAGAACCUUACCAAGGCUUGACAUAUACAGGAAUAUGGCAGAGAUGUCAUAGCCGCAAGGUCUGUAUACAGGUGGUGCACGGCCGUCGCCAACU